UGCAUGUCUAAGUACUUGCCGAACUAAGGUGAAACCGCGAAUGGCUCAUUAAAUCAGUUAUGGUUCCUUGGAUCGUACCUCACUACUUGGAUAACUGUGGCAAUUCUAGAGCUAAUACAUGCAGCAGAGCUCCGACCCUCGGGAACGAGCGCUUUUAUUAGACCAACCAGACGGGCCUCGCGCCCGCCAACUCUGUGGUGACUCUGUAUAACUUUGGGCCGAUCGCACGGGCCUGACCCGGCGACGUAUCCUUCAAGUGUCUGCCUUAUCAACUGUCGAUGGUAGGUCACGCGCCUACCAUGGUCGUAACGGGUGACGGGGAAUCAGGGUUCGAUUCCGGAGAGGGAGCCUGAGAAACGGCUACCACAUCCAAGGAAGGCAGCAGGCGCGCAAAUUACCCACUCCCGGCACGGGGAGGUAGUGACGAAAAAUAACGAUACGGGACUCUUACGAGACCCCGUAAUCGGAAUGAGCACCAUGUAAAUCCUUUAACGAGGAUCCAUUGGAGGGCAAGUCUGGUGCCAGCAGCUGCGGUAAUUCCAGCUCCAAUAGCGUAUAUUAAAGUUGUUGCGGUUAAAAAGCUCGUAGUUGGUUCUCAGCAUGGGACGGGGGGUCCGCCUAACGGCGUUAAUCCCCCGCUUUCCGGCACUCGGCCGGUUUCCCCGGGAUGAUCUUCACCGGUCGUCAGGGGUGACCGGCGAGUUUACCUUGAAAAAAUUAGAGUGCUCAGAGCAGGCGAGAAGCCUGGAUAAUGGUGCAUGGAAUAAUGGAAUACGACCUCGCUUCUGUUUUGUUGGUCCACCGAAUCGAGGUAAUGAUUAAGAGGGACAGACGGGGGCAUUCGUAUUGCGACGCUAGAGGUGAAAUUCUUGGACCGUCGCASGACGAACCACUGCGAAAGCAUUUGCCAAGAAUGUUUUCAUUAAUCAAGAACGAAAGUCAGAGGUUCGAAGGCGAUCAGAUACCGCCCUAGUUCUAACCAUAAACGAUGCCAGCCAGCGAUCCGGCUGUGUUCCUAGAAUGACACGCCGGGCAGCUUCCGGGAAACCAAAGCUUCUGGGUUCCGGGGGAAGUAUGGUUGCAAAGCUGAAACUUAAAGGAAUUGACGGAAGGGCACCACCAGAAAUGGAGCCUGCGGCUUAAUUUGACUCAACACGGGUAAGCUCACCCGGUCCGGACACAGGAAGGAUUGACAGAUUGAUAGCUCUUUCUUGAUUCUGUGGGUGGUGGUGCAUGGCCGUUCUUAGUUGGUGGGGUGACUUGUCUGGUUAAUUCCGAUAACGAACGAGACUCUAGCCUACUAAAUAGACGCACCCGCCCUCAACGGGCGGGACGUUCUUCUUAGAGGGACAAGCGGCUCUCAGCCGCACGAGACAGAGCAAUAACAGGUCUGUGAUGCCCUUAGAUGUCCGGGGCCGCACGCGCGCUACAUUGGAGGAGGCAGCGUGUGCUUUCCCUGGCCGAAAGGUCUGGGCAACCCGAUCAGUCUCCUCCGUGCUGGGGACAGGGGAUUGUAAUUGUUCCCCUCGAACGAGGAAUUCCCAGUAAGCGCGAGUCAUCAGCUCGUGCUGACUAAGUCCCUGCCCUUUGUACACACCGCCCGUCGCUACUACCGAUUGAAUGAUUCGGUGAGGUCUUCGGACUGGCGCUCGGUUCAGCCCUCGCGGUGGAGCUGGCGUGCCGGAAAGAUGACCGAACUUGAUUAUUUAGAGGAAGUAAA
This 1720-nucleotide ribosomal RNA is filed under the name Herennia multipuncta. RNAcentral's name for it is "SSU rRNA". It matches the Rfam family "Eukaryotic small subunit ribosomal RNA". Lineage: Eukaryota; Metazoa; Arthropoda; Arachnida; Araneae; Nephilidae. The record is from RNAcentral.